Molecule: ribosomal RNA, 583 nt
Filed under: Agrobacterium salinitolerans
Lineage: Bacteria; Pseudomonadati; Pseudomonadota; Alphaproteobacteria; Hyphomicrobiales; Rhizobiaceae
Description: partial 23S ribosomal RNA
Rfam family: Bacterial large subunit ribosomal RNA
Source: RNAcentral
GAAGAAGUGAAUUAAGGGCAUUUGGUGGAUGCCUUGGCAUGCACAGGCGAAGAAGGACGUGAUACGCUGCGAAAAGCCGUGGGGAGCUGCGAAUAAGCUUUGAUCCAUGGAUCUCCGAAUGGGGCAACCCACCUUAAAUACCUAGAAAAUCAUUCCUGUUGGAAUGAUUUGUCUAGUCUUGUUUGAUCUCACGUGCCGUAUCGCACUUCCUUUUGAAGUGCUGGCACUGCGAUGGCGCGCUGCACGAGCAGCGACGGACUAGCGUCCUGUAUGGGUACCUUGCUCAAGCUUGAGUGUGGCAGCCAUACAGACCGAUAGGUCGUCGCCAACAGUUUGGCGCCCGUCCGGAGCGAAGCAGCGCAAGCUGCGACAGCGUGAGGACAAAACAAGCCCGGCACGUCCGGGUGGGACAGAGCAACCGGAAUGGUUUCUAGGUAUUGUUAUAAGGUAUCUUACUUUCGAAUACAUAGGGGUAAGAAGCGAACGCAGGGAACUGAAACAUCUAAGUACCUGCAGGAAAGGACAUCAACCGAGACUCCGCAAGUAGUGGCGAGCGAACGCGGACCAGGCCAGUGGCAAUGAU